GAAGGUCGUUAUGGGUCCAGCCCUGGGAAGUGCUGCCAAUGCUGUCCUCCAAAAAGGAAGCGAACCAGUAGGAGCCAUGACACUAAAGCAAUGUGUGAAGACAGAGGGAAGGAACGCCACCCAUGAUGCUAAUCGACUGGAAUCUCACUCACCAAAGAGAAAGGAAAACUAACCAUGGCAACCGUGGUCGUGGAAGAUAGAGAGCUGACA
Molecule: long non-coding RNA, 210 nt
Organism: Mesoplodon densirostris (Blainville's beaked whale)
Lineage: Eukaryota; Metazoa; Chordata; Mammalia; Artiodactyla; Ziphiidae
Exons: 3
Source: RefSeq, a predicted model, not a curated record